This is a long non-coding RNA of Panicum hallii, 965 nucleotides long. RefSeq lists it as uncharacterized. The transcript is spliced from 2 exons. Lineage: Eukaryota; Viridiplantae; Streptophyta; Magnoliopsida; Poales; Poaceae. The record is from RefSeq and is a predicted model, not a curated record.
CACUUCCUUUAUUUCUGUUAUGGUUUGCUUUGUUUUUCUUUCUUCUUCUUUUUUCCAUGUUAGAGGAUCCUGCCGCAAUUUUUCUUUGAAAAGGGAUCCUGCCGCAUUUUGUUAGCGCAAUAUUUAGGGGUACUCCUGGGAAUGGAUUGGGCUCGAUCCAAAUCCAAUUGGAUUUUGGCACUUAAACUCUACUGGAUUUGGAUCUAGAAGGGAGCGCCGGACGCACAGGAAGCCAGCCGCACGAACGUCUUCUCCCUCGCGGACUCGCCGCCGUGCGUCUUCUCCCUCGGCUACCGCGCGUCUUCUUCCCCAGCCACAGCACCUCUUGUCGCCUGCCCUCGUCACGCGGAGCAUCUCGAGUUUUGGAGAUCUCGCCGAUGCGUGUUGGACAGGAGCGGCGGCAGCGCGCACGGUGGCUGCCGCAGGCGGAGGAGGCGUACGGCCGCGGCUGCUGGAGUGGGCGGAGGGCGCGAGCUCGGUAUCUGAUAGCGCGGCCGGCGAGCGGCAGUUGCCGCGGGUGUGGAGGCUGCGAAGCUGCCGAGGCGCGGGCAUAGGCCGUGCGACAGCGAACGGAGGCGAGGCAGCGCUGCCGGCGAGCCGCGGGCGGAGGUAGUGCGACAGAAAACAGAGGCGAGGCAUCACGGCCAGCGAGCGCAGUUGACGCGGGCGCAGAGGCGACGAAGCCGGCGAGUCGCGGACGGAGGCCGGCGAGCGGCAGCCAGCGCGACGGGAGACCGGUGCGGGCAGGCGAGCCGCGGGUGAAGACGGCGCGGUCGAACAGCAGCAGCCGGUGCGGGCGGCGCGAGCCGGCGAGAAGCCUGUGCAGCUUCCUUGCCGGCGAGUUCGUCGCGGCCGAGGAGGGCGCCCAGCAUGGCCGAUUGUCCAUGGCUCCCAUAUACUUGAAUUUUGGAUUAUAUUGGAUGGAUUUGGAUUGAGGGGAAUUGGAUUGGACUGAAUUGGACGUU